GUAGUUAGCCGGGGCUUCCUCCUUGGCUACCGUCACUUUCUUCGUCACCAAGGACAGAGGUUUACAAUCCGAAGACCUUCUUCCCUCACGCGGCGUUGCUGGGUCAGGCUUUCGCCCAUUGCCCAAUAUUCCCCACUGCUGCCUCCCGUAGGAGUCUGGACCGUGUCUCAGUUCCAGUGUGGCCGAUCAGCCUCUCAGCUCGGCUACCCAUCGUUGGCUAGGUGGGCCGUUACCCCGCCUACUACCUAAUGGGACGCGAACCCCUCCUUCUGCGGAUUGCUCCUUUGACCUCUGAACCAUGCGGCUCUGUGGUCUUAUGCGGUAUUAGCACUUGUUUCCAGGUGUUAUCCCCCUCAAAAGGGCAGGUUGUUCACGCGUUACUCACCCGUUCGCCACUAACUACAAAUCCGAAAACCUGUAGUCCGUUCGACUUGCAUGUGUUAGGCACGCCGCCAGCGUUCGUCCUGAGCCACGAAUCGAACCCUCGA
This 488-nucleotide ribosomal RNA is filed under the name uncultured bacterium. Its description in RNAcentral is "partial 16S ribosomal RNA". The record is from RNAcentral.